UUGCUCAGUUCAGCAGUAACACAUAUGCUAAAAUUGGAAUGAUACAGAAAAAGAUUAUCAUGGCCGCUGUGUGAGGAUGACAUAAAAAUUAAUGAAGUGUUUCCUAAUUUU
Molecule: small nuclear RNA, 111 nt
Organism: Meriones unguiculatus (Mongolian gerbil)
Lineage: Eukaryota; Metazoa; Chordata; Mammalia; Rodentia; Muridae
Source: Ensembl